RNAcentral lists this ribosomal RNA (252 nucleotides) under uncultured bacterium. Its description in RNAcentral is "partial 16S ribosomal RNA". It matches the Rfam family "Bacterial small subunit ribosomal RNA", at positions 524 to 776 of the family's 1533-position model. The record is from RNAcentral.
UACAGAGGGGGCAAGCGUUGUUCGGAAUUACUGGGCGUAAGGGCGCGUAGGCGGCCUCUUAAGUCGAACGUGAAAUCCCCGGGCUCAACCCGGGAACUGCGUCCGAUACUGGGAGGCUUGAAUCCGGGAGAGGGAUGUGGAAUUCCAGGUGUAGCGGUGAAAUGCGUAGAUAUCUGGAGGAACACCGGUGGCGAAGGCGGCAUCCUGGACCGGUAUUGACGCUGAGGCGCGAAAGCUAGGGGAGCAAACGGG